UCUUCAUGAUUGAUAAGAAUUCAUCAUAGCUACGUUCAGACAGCACACUGAAGUGGCCCAAAUCCGAUUUUUUUGGCCCUAUGUGACCUGUAUCUGAUCUUUUCAUUACAGUCUGAACAGCACAGAUCGGAUUUUUUCAAAUCCGAUCCAGGCCACUUGGGUAUGUGGUCCCAAUUGCGAUACAUAUCUGAUCUUUUGCCAUGCGACUACAGUCUGAACGGCCAGGUCGCAUUUAUCCGACCUAUGCAUCAUCAUUAUGUGACGAACGUUACUAUUCUGCGCCCGACACGGCACAAGCGGGAAGAAACAAC
Molecule: long non-coding RNA, 311 nt
Organism: Thalassophryne amazonica
Lineage: Eukaryota; Metazoa; Chordata; Actinopteri; Batrachoidiformes; Batrachoididae
Exons: 4
Source: RefSeq, a predicted model, not a curated record